Molecule: small nuclear RNA, 104 nt
Organism: Rattus norvegicus (Norway rat)
Lineage: Eukaryota; Metazoa; Chordata; Mammalia; Rodentia; Muridae
Source: Ensembl
GUGCUCACUUUGGCAGCACAUAAUCUAAAAUUGGGACAAUACAGAGAAUUAUCAUGUUCCUACUCAAGGUUGAAACACAGAUUCAUGAAGCAUUCCAUAUUUUU